RNAcentral lists this ribosomal RNA (253 nucleotides) under uncultured Lactobacillus sp. RNAcentral describes it as "partial 16S ribosomal RNA". It matches the Rfam family "Bacterial small subunit ribosomal RNA", at positions 524 to 776 of the family's 1533-position model. The record is from RNAcentral. Lineage: Bacteria; Bacillati; Bacillota; Bacilli; Lactobacillales; Lactobacillaceae.
UACGUAGGGGGCAAGCGUUGUCCGGAAUGACUGGGCGUAAAGGGAACGCAGGCGGUCUUUUAAGUCUGAUGUGAAAGCCUUCGGCUUAACCGGAGUAGUGCAUUGGAAACUGGGAGACUUGAGUGCAGAAGAGGAGAAUGGGACUCCAUGUGUAGCGGUGAAAUGCGUAGAUAUAUGGAAGAACACCAGUGGCGAAAGCGGCUCUCUGGUCUGUAACUGACGCUGAGGCGCGGAAGCGUGGGGAGCAAACAGG